This 498-nucleotide ribosomal RNA is filed under the name uncultured bacterium. Its description in RNAcentral is "partial 16S ribosomal RNA". It matches the Rfam family "Bacterial small subunit ribosomal RNA", at positions 30 to 523 of the family's 1533-position model. The record is from RNAcentral.
AUUGAACGCUGGCGGCAUGCCUUACACAUGCAAGUCGAACGGUAACAGGUCUUCGGAUGCCGACGAGUGGCGAACGGGUGAGUAAUACAUCGGAACGUGCCUAGUAGUGGGGGAUAACUACUCGAAAGAGUGGCUAAUACCGCAUGAGAUCUACGGAUGAAAGCAGGGGAUCGCAAGACCUUGUGCUACUAGAGCGGCCGAGGGCAGAUUAGGUAGUUGGGGGGGUAAAAGCUUACCAAGCCGACGAUCUGUAGCUGGUCUGAGAGGACGAUCAGCCACACUGGGACUGAGAAACGGCCCAGACUCCUACGGGGGGCAGCAGUGGGGAAUUUUGGACAAUGGGCGCAAGCCUGAUCCAGCAAUGCCGCGUGCAGGAUGAAGGCCUUCGGGUUGUAAACUGCUUUUGUACGGAACGAAAAGCCCCGGGUUAAUACCCUGGGGUCAUGACGGUACCGUAAGAAUAAGCACCGGCUAACUACGUGCCAGCAGCCGCCGUAA